This 503-nucleotide ribosomal RNA is filed under the name uncultured Alphaproteobacteria bacterium. RNAcentral describes it as "bacterial SSU rRNA". It matches the Rfam family "Bacterial small subunit ribosomal RNA", at positions 353 to 879 of the family's 1533-position model. The record is from RNAcentral. Lineage: Bacteria; Pseudomonadati; Pseudomonadota; Alphaproteobacteria.
AGUGGGGAAUAUUGGACAAUGGGCGAAAGCCUGAUCCAACCAUGCCGCGUGAGUGAUGAAGGCCUUCGGGUUGUAAAGCUCUUUUGACGGGGAAGAUAAUGACCGUACCCGUAGAAGAAGCCCCGGGUAAAUUCGUGCCAGCAGCCGCGGUAAUAAGAAUGUGGCCAGCGUUGUUUGGAAUCACUGGGGGUAAAGAAUGGGUCGGCGGCUUGUCAAAUCAGAAGUGAAAUCCCAGGGCUCAACCCUGGAAAUGCUUUUGAAAAUGUUGGGCUAGUGUCCCGGAGGGGGGGAUGGAAUUCCGAGUGUAGGGGUGAAAUUAGGAGAUAUUUGGGGGAACCCCAGUGGGGAAGGGGAUCACCUGGACGGGUACCGACGCCGGCGCGAAAAGUGGGGGGCAACAGGAUUAAUUACCCUGGUAGUCCCCACCGUUAACAAUGUGUACUAGUUGUGGGCAGCUUAGAUGUUCGGUGCCGCAGCUAACGCAUAAGCACACCGCCUGAGAC